RNAcentral lists this ribosomal RNA (440 nucleotides) under uncultured bacterium. RNAcentral's name for it is "partial 16S ribosomal RNA". It matches the Rfam family "Bacterial small subunit ribosomal RNA", at positions 338 to 795 of the family's 1533-position model. The record is from RNAcentral.
CCUACGGGGGGCAGCAGUGGGGAAUAUUGCACAAUGGGGGAAACCCUGAUGCAGCGACGCCGCGUGAGUGAAGAAGUAUUUCGGUAUGUAAAGCUCUAUCAGCAGGGAAGAAAAUGACGGUACCUGUUUAAGAAGCCCCGGCUAACUACGUGCCAGCAGCCGCGGUAAUACGUAGGGGGCAAGCGUUAUCCGGAUUUACUGGGUGUAAAGGGAGCGUAGACGGCAGCACAAGUCUGGAGUGAAAUGCCGGGACUUAACCCCGGAACUGCUUUGGAAACUGUGCAGCUAGAGUGCAGGAGAGGUAAGUGGAAUUCCUAGUGUAGCGGUGAAAUGCGUAGAUAUUAGGAGGAACACCAGUGGCGAAGGCGGCUUACUGAACUGUAACUGACGUUGAGGCUCGAAAGCGUGGGGAGCAAACAGGAUUAGAUACCCCUGUAGUC